UAGGGAAUCUUUGGCAAUGGGGGGAACCCUGACCGAGCAACGCCGCGUGAGUGAAGAAGGUUUUCGGAUCGUAAAGCUCUGUUGUUAAGGAAGAACGAGUGUGAGAAUGGAAAGUUCAUACUGUGACGGUACUUAACCAGAAAGGGACGGCUAACUACGUGCUAGCAGCCGCGGUAAUACGUAGGUGGCAAGCGUUGUCCGGAUUUAUUGGGCGUAAAGCGAGCGCAGGCGGUCAAUUAAGUCUGAUGUGAAAGCCCCCGGCUCAACCGGGGAGGGUCAUUGGAAACUGGUUGACUUGAGUGCAGAAGAGGAGAGUGGAAUUCCAUGUGUAGCGGUGAAAUGCGUAGAUAUAUGGAGGAACACCAGUGGCGAAAGCGGCUCUCUGGUCUGUAACUGACGCUGAGGCUCGAAAGCGUGGGGAGCGAACAGG
Molecule: ribosomal RNA, 430 nt
Filed under: Bacteroidota bacterium
Lineage: Bacteria; Pseudomonadati; Bacteroidota
Description: Bacteroidetes bacterium partial 16S ribosomal RNA
Rfam family: Bacterial small subunit ribosomal RNA
Source: RNAcentral